RNAcentral lists this ribosomal RNA (253 nucleotides) under uncultured bacterium. RNAcentral describes it as "partial 16S ribosomal RNA". It matches the Rfam family "Bacterial small subunit ribosomal RNA", at positions 524 to 776 of the family's 1533-position model. The record is from RNAcentral.
UACGGGGGGGGCAAGCGUUGUUCGGAAUUACUGGGCGUAAAGGGCUCGUAGGCGGCCAACUAAGUCAUACGUGAAAUCCCUCGGCUUAACCGGGGAACUGCGUCUGAUACUGGAUGGCUUGAGUUCGGGAGAGGGAUGCGGAAUUCCAGGUGUAGCGGUGAAAUGCGUAGAUAUCUGGAGGAACACCGGUGGCGAAGGCGGCAUCCUGGACCGAUACUGACGCUGAGGAGCGAAAGCCAGGGGAGUAAACGGG